Molecule: ribosomal RNA, 252 nt
Filed under: uncultured bacterium
Lineage: Bacteria
Description: partial 16S ribosomal RNA
Rfam family: Bacterial small subunit ribosomal RNA
Source: RNAcentral
UACGGAGGAUGCGACCGUUAUCCGGAUUUAUUGGGUUUAAAGGGUGCGUAGGCGGACUGUCAAGUCAGCGGUAAAAUUGAGAGGCUCAACCUCUUCCCGCCGUUGAAACUGGUGGUCUUGAGUGGAUGAGAAGUACGCGGAAUGCGUGGUGUAGCGGUGAAAUGCAUAGAUAUCACGCAGAACUCCGAUUGCGAAGGCAGCGUACCGGCAUCCAACUGACGCUGAGGCACGAAAGCGUGGGGAUCAAACAGG